RNAcentral lists this long non-coding RNA (392 nucleotides) under Ornithorhynchus anatinus (platypus). RNAcentral's name for it is "lncRNA (ENSOANG00000037993.1)". The record is from RNAcentral. Lineage: Eukaryota; Metazoa; Chordata; Mammalia; Monotremata; Ornithorhynchidae.
CUUUACGCGACCUAGUGUUUGCCAGGGCCACAAAACUUGUCUUUUUCUCCACUGCAGCUUUUGCAAACUGGUUAUUCGUCCCUUUGGUGCUCACGUACAGCGAGACCCGAAAGGGCCGGGUGCCAGCGUGUGCUUGUUGGUUUCGUCGUGUGAAAGAUGAGAGGAAGAAGAAAGGGGCAGGGAGGAGCGUGACAGCGCCCGUGCGAUCCAGCGGGGCCCGGCUUUAUUUCCGCGUGUUCGGGGAAGAGGUCAAUGGCGGUCUUCCCGUUUGUCCCACCGGCAACAUGAGAGGUCCCAGGUUUGGAAAAAGGAUGCUUUUUUUUAUCAACUGCGGCAAGGCCAGCAGCAGCGGCAACAGUCCCACGGACGGUCUGGCUGCGCUGUCGAGUUGA